CGGGGCAUAGCGCAGCCUGGUAGCGCACUAGUCUGGGGGACUAGGGGUCGUAGGUUCAAAUCCUGCUGUCCCGACCA
RNAcentral lists this transfer RNA (77 nucleotides) under Moraxellaceae bacterium. RNAcentral describes it as "tRNA-Pro". It matches the Rfam family "tRNA". From Rfam's summary of the family: Transfer RNA (tRNA) molecules are approximately 80 nucleotides in length. Their secondary structure includes four short double-helical elements and three loops (D, anti-codon, and T loops). RNAcentral also lists the same sequence under 2 other names. The record is from RNAcentral. Lineage: Bacteria; Pseudomonadati; Pseudomonadota; Gammaproteobacteria; Moraxellales; Moraxellaceae.